UACGGAGGGUGCAAGCGUUAUUCGGAAUUACUGGGCGUAAAGCGUGCGUAGGCGGUUCGUUAAGUCUGCUGUGAAAUCCCCGAGCUCAACUUGGGAAUUGCAGUGGAUACUGGCAAGCUGGAGUACGGUAGAGGAAGGUGGAAUUCCCGGUGUAGCAGUGAAAUGCGUAGAGAUCGGGAGGAACACCAGUGGCGAAGGCGGCCUUCUGGACCAGUACUGACGCUCAUGCACGAAAGCGUGGGGAGCAAACAGG
RNAcentral lists this ribosomal RNA (253 nucleotides) under uncultured bacterium. Its description in RNAcentral is "partial 16S ribosomal RNA". It matches the Rfam family "Bacterial small subunit ribosomal RNA", at positions 524 to 776 of the family's 1533-position model. The record is from RNAcentral.